This 630-nucleotide long non-coding RNA is filed under the name Zonotrichia albicollis (white-throated sparrow). Its description in RNAcentral is "lncRNA (ENSZALG00000012637.1)". The record is from RNAcentral. Lineage: Eukaryota; Metazoa; Chordata; Aves; Passeriformes; Passerellidae.
CUUAGGUAACACAGGAAACUCAGCACAGGAGCUGAUCCAGGAUGUCUGAUGCCUGAAUCUGUAAUUCCCACUGAGAUCGAACUUCCAGUGACUCCAGAAAAGGACGGCAGCAUGACCAUCCUUUCCUGUUCAGCCAAACACCUUAACUAGAAUUAUUCAAGUUUAAAGCAAAAUUUCAGCAGUAACUGAAAUGCUUGCAGAAUACACGAACAACAGCGCCCUCUGCACCUGAAACCCCUCCGGUUAUUAAACCCAGACGUUCCUACGUGCUGGAGGAGCCUUUAAUUUCAAUUACUGCUUUUUUCAGCUGCUGCAGUAAACAUCACACUGAACCAUGGGGGGGACCUGGUCAUGAGCAAAUCACAAACAGACUGUCUCGACUGGCAGAAAAUCAAGCACCAACAUUUCAUCAGUGGAGGAACUCUUCUCUCCAGAGAUUUAUAUUCUAACCAGCAGAGCCAUAGAUAUUUCUGGUGUUAUAUUUGGCUAAAAUCUCACCACCAAUCUCAGCUUCUGGCAUGGAAGGAAAGAAAUCCAUUCCCAAGGGGCACAGAAAGGAUGCAAACCUCAAGGCAAGACCCAACCCUUGCAGCCUUUGUGCGAGGUGAAGAAAAUGAAGGAAGUGAAUAA